This 468-nucleotide ribosomal RNA is filed under the name uncultured bacterium. RNAcentral's name for it is "partial 16S ribosomal RNA". It matches the Rfam family "Bacterial small subunit ribosomal RNA", at positions 28 to 507 of the family's 1533-position model. The record is from RNAcentral.
GACGAACGCUGGCGGCGUGCUUAACACAUGCAAUUCGAACGGAAAUGCCCUGCUUUUGUGGGUUUCUCGAUUUGCUAACGUGUGAUUAACACGUUAUUAACCUGCCCUUUACUUUUGGAUAACUUCAGGAAACUUGGGCUAAUACCGGAUAGGAGCUCCUGCUGCAUGGUGGGGGUUGGAAAGUUUCGGCGGUUGGGGAUGGACUCGCGGCUUAUCAGCUUGUUGGUGGGGUAGUGGCUUACCAAGGCUUUGACGGGUAGCAGGACUGAGAGGGUGACCGGCGACAUUGGGACUGAGAUACGGACCAGACUCCUACGGGAGGCAGCAGUGGGGAAUAUUGCACAAUGGGCGGAAGCCUGAUGCAGCAACGCCGCGUGCGGGAUGACGGCCUAAGGGUUGUAAACCGCUUUCGCCUGUGACGAAGCGUGAGUGACGGUAAUGGGUAAAGAAGCACCGGCUAACUACGUG